Molecule: ribosomal RNA, 457 nt
Filed under: uncultured bacterium
Lineage: Bacteria
Description: bacterial SSU rRNA
Rfam family: Bacterial small subunit ribosomal RNA
Source: RNAcentral
ACUCCUACGGGAGGCAGCAGUGGGGAAUAUUGCACAAUGGGGCACNAGCUGAUCAGCCAUGCCGCGUGUGUGAAGAAGGCCUUCGGGUUGUAAAGCACUUUCAGUAGGGAGGAAGGUAGUGUAGUUAACACCUGCAUUAUUUGACGUUACCUACAGAAGAAGCACCGGCUAACUCCGUGCCAGCAGCCGCGGUAAUACGGAGGGUGCGAGCGUUAAUCGGAAUUACUGGGCGUAAAGCGCAUGCAGGCGGCCUGUUAAGUCAGAUGUGAAAGCCCGGGGCUUAACCUCGGAAUUGCAUUUGAAACUGGCAGGCUAGAGUCUUGUAGAGGGGGGUAGAAUUUCAGGUGUAGCGGUGAAAUGCGUAGAGAUCUGAAGGAAUACCAGUGGCGAAGGCGGCCCCCUGGACAAAGACUGACGCUCAGAUGCGAAAGCGUGGGGAGCAAACAGGAUUAGAUGA